This 824-nucleotide ribosomal RNA is filed under the name Actinomyces sp. Marley1. RNAcentral's name for it is "bacterial SSU rRNA". It matches the Rfam family "Bacterial small subunit ribosomal RNA", at positions 57 to 872 of the family's 1533-position model. Lineage: Bacteria; Bacillati; Actinomycetota; Actinomycetes; Actinomycetales; Actinomycetaceae. The record is from RNAcentral.
GCAAGUCGAACGGUGAAGCCCUUUUUUGGGUGGAUGAGUGGCGAACGGGUGAGUAACACGUGAGUAACCUGCCCCCUUCUUCUGGAUAACCUCAUGAAAGUGGGGCUAAUACGGGAUAUUCUGGUCUGUGCGCAUGCAUGGGUUGGGAAAGGUAUUGUUCUGGUGGGGAUGGGCUCGCGGCCUAUCAGCUUGUUGGUGGGGUGAUGGCCUACCAAGGCGGUGACGGGUAGCCGGCCUGAGAGGGUGGACGGCCACACUGGGACUGAGACACGGCCCAGACUCCUACGGGAGGCAGCAGUGGGGAAUAUUGCACAAUGGGCGCAAGCCUGAUGCAGCGACGCCGCGUGAGGGAUGGAGGCCUUCGGGUUGUGAACCUCUUUCGCCAGUGAAGCAGGCUCAUCUCUUUGUGGGUGGGUUGACGGUAGCUGGAUAAGAAGCGCCGGCUAACUACGUGCCASCAGCCGCGGUAAUACGUAGGGCGCGAGCGUUGUCCGGAAUUAUUGGGCGUAAAGAGCUCGUAGGCGGCUGGUCGCGUCUGUCGUGAAAUCCUCUGGCUUAACUGGGGGCUUGCGGUGGGUACGGGCCGGCUUGAGUGCGGUAGGGGAGACUGGAAUUCCUGGUGUAGCGGUGGAAUGCGCAGAUAUCAGGAGGAACACCGGUGGCGAAGGCGGGUCUCUGGGCCGUUACUGACGCUGAGGAGCGAAAGCGUGGGGAGCGAACAGGAUUAGAUACCCUGGUAGUCCACGCCGUAAACGUUGGGCACUAGGUGUGGGGGGCCUUUUCCGGGUUCUUCCGCGCCGUAGCUAACGCAUUAAGUGCCCCGC